This 334-nucleotide ribosomal RNA is filed under the name uncultured bacterium. Its description in RNAcentral is "bacterial SSU rRNA". It matches the Rfam family "Bacterial small subunit ribosomal RNA", at positions 30 to 363 of the family's 1533-position model. The record is from RNAcentral.
AUUGAACGCUGGCGGCAUGCCUUGCACAUGCAAGUCGAACGGCAGCGGACCUUCGGUGCCGGCGAGUGGCGAACGGGUGAGUAAUAUAUCGGAACGUACCUUUCAGUGGGGAGUAACGUAGCGAAAGUUACGCUAAUACCGCAUAUUCUGUGAGCAGGAAAGACAGGGGAGUCGCAAGACCUUGCGCUGAUUGAGCGGCCGAUAUCAGAUUAGCUAGUUGGUGAGGUAAAGGACUCACCAAGGCGACGAUCUGUAGCGGGUCGUGAGAGGAUGAUCCGCCACACUGGAACUGAGACACGGUCCAGACUCCUACGGGAGGCAGCAGUGGGGGAAG